This 22-nucleotide microRNA is filed under the name Saccoglossus kowalevskii. Its description in RNAcentral is "Sko-Mir-4818-P4_3p (mature (guide))". Lineage: Eukaryota; Metazoa; Hemichordata; Enteropneusta; Harrimaniidae. The record is from RNAcentral.
CAUUGCACUUAAUAGUGGGGCU